GAUGAACGCUGGCGGCGUGCCUAACACAUGCAAGUCGAGCGCGUCUUAUCGGUGCUUGCACUGAGAAAGAUGAGCGGCGGACGGGUGAGUAACGCGUGGGUAACCUGCCCUAUACACAUGGAUAACAUACUGAAAAGUUUACUAAUACAUGAUAAUAUAUAUUUACGGCAUCGUAGAUAUAUCAAAGUGUUAGCGGUAUAGGAUGGACCCGCGUCUGAUUAGCUAGUUGGUGAGGGUAACGCCACCAAGGCGACGAUGGGUAACCGCCUGAGAGGGUGAACGGUCACAUUGGAACUGAGACACGGUCCAA
Molecule: ribosomal RNA, 310 nt
Filed under: uncultured bacterium
Lineage: Bacteria
Description: bacterial SSU rRNA
Rfam family: Bacterial small subunit ribosomal RNA
Source: RNAcentral